CUUUCUGUGCCGUGUAGAUCUUAGAAACCGAGAGCCAUGGCGCCGGUGGCCGAUGGAUUCAGGCCUCUGGACGAGAAAUCCGUCAUGGAGUACAUCAAGGAGACGCCCACCCUCCACGCGCAGCUGGGGAACCAGCUGGACGGCGUCGUCAUCAAAGAAGUCGGCGACGGGAACCUCAACUUCGUCUACAUCGUCGUCGGCCCUGCCGGAUCCUUGGUCAUCAAGCAGGCUCUUCCGUACCUUCGCAUCAUAGGCGAAUCGUGGCCAUUGACAAAGGAGCGUGCGUAUUUUGAGGCGUUGGCAUUAAAAGAGCAAGGUCGAUGGUGUCCAGAUCAUGUACCAGAAGUUUACCAUUUUGACCGGCCUAUGUCUUUGAUUGCCAUGCGCUACUUGAAGCCACCACACAUAAUUUUGCGGAAAGGAUUGAUUGCUGGAAUUGAAUAUCCAUUGCUUGCUCAACAUAUGUCAGACUACAUGGCAAAGACACUUUUCUUCACAUCUCUUCUUUAUCAUUCUACAUUAGACCAUAGACAUGCAGUUGCAGAAUUUUGUGGAAAUGUGGAGCUUUGUAGGCACACUGAGCGGGUUGUCUUUUCAGACCCAUAUAAGGUGGCUCAGUAUAAUCGUUGGACUUCUCCUUACCUUGAUCAUGAUGCUGAGGCAGUUCGAGAAGAUGACACUUUAAAGAUUGAAGUGGCCGAGUUGAAAUCUAUGUUCUGUGAGAGGGCACAAGCCCUAAUUCAUGGAGAUCUUCAUACUGGUUCUGUCAUGGUGACUGGUGAUUCUACCCAGGUCAUUGAUCCAGAGUUUGCUUUUUAUGGACCCAUGGGGUUUGACAUAGGAGCCUUUUUAGGAAACCUAAUAUUGGCCUUCUUUGCACAAGAUGGGCAUGCUGACAAAGGGAAUGACCGUCAAGCAUACAAACAGUGGAUUUUGAAGACAGCUGAAGAAACUUGGAAUCUUUUUCAUCAGAAGUUCAUUUCACUCUGGGCUGGACACAAGGAUGGGAAUGGUGAGGCAUAUCCUGUGUCUAUAUACAACAAGCCUGAACUUCAACUCCUUGUCCAGAAGAGGUACAUGGCAGGUUUAUUCCAUGAUGCUCUAGGAUUUGGUGCUGCUAAAAUGAUAAGGAGGAUAGUAGGAGUAGCUCAUGUUGAAGAUUUUGAAUCAAUUGCUGAUGCUAGCAGGCGAGCAUAUUGUGAGCGCCGUGCCCUUGACUUUGCUAAAAUGCUUCUCAAGGAAAGACGCCGAUUCCAAUCCAUCAAUCAAGUCAUUUCAGCGAUCCAGGAAUAAUAUUAAGCUGUGGUUUGAGAAGACGUUGCUCCCUUUCCCCUCAAUAUAUGCUUAAGUUCCUGCGGAAUUCAGAUGUGAGUAAUUCGUGCCACGUGGAUUUAUGAAACCUACGUGUUUGAUUAUGUACAUUCCCAUGUCCAUUAUACCUUCAACUUGUGCUGCAAAUGCCUAUUCGGCCAUUGUUGGGAGUGAAACCAAGACCUUCUUCUGUGCUAUAACAUGAAGCCUUCCUUUUAUCAG
This is an RNA transcript of Elaeis guineensis (African oil palm), 1533 nucleotides long. It is a transcript of the gene named methylthioribose kinase, with no coding region annotated. NCBI's taxonomy places the organism in Eukaryota, Viridiplantae, Streptophyta, Magnoliopsida, Arecales, Arecaceae. The record is from RefSeq and is a predicted model, not a curated record.